Molecule: ribosomal RNA, 506 nt
Filed under: Penicillium sp. HGUP2021
Lineage: Eukaryota; Fungi; Ascomycota; Eurotiomycetes; Eurotiales; Aspergillaceae
Description: eukaryotic LSU rRNA
Rfam family: 5.8S ribosomal RNA (bases 137-290)
Source: RNAcentral
GUUUAUUUACCUUGUUGCUUCGGCGGGCCCGCCUCACGGCCGCCGGGGGGCACCUGCCCCCGGGCCCGCGCCCGCCGAAGACACCAUUGAACUCUGUCUGAAGUUUGCAGUCUGAGCGAUUAGCUAAAUCAGUUAAAACUUUCAACAACGGAUCUCUUGGUUCCGGCAUCGAUGAAGAACGCAGCGAAAUGCGAUACGUAAUGUGAAUUGCAGAAUUCAGUGAAUCAUCGAGUCUUUGAACGCACAUUGCGCCCCCUGGUAUUCCGGGGGGCAUGCCUGUCCGAGCGUCAUUGCUGCCCUCAAGCACGGCUUGUGUGUUGGGCCCCGCCCCCCGGUCUCGGGGGGCGGACCCGAAAGGCAGCGGCGGCACCGCGUCCGGUCCUCGAGCGUAUGGGGCUUCGUCACCCGCUCUGUAGGCCCGGCCGGCGCCCGCCGGCGACCCCAAUCAAUCUAUCCAGGUUGACCUCGGAUCAGGUAGGGAUACCCGCUGAACUUAAGCAUAUCAA